CCAUAGAGUGAAAGGAGAGAAGAUUAGACUCCUCUCGAUAAGCAUGGAGGAGGUCCUUAGAUCCUGGAUGGCAUGUGAAUGGUUAAUAGACUGCCAUGUAGUUCACAUCACCUGAUCAGAUUUUGGC
Molecule: small nuclear RNA, 127 nt
Organism: Sphaerodactylus townsendi
Lineage: Eukaryota; Metazoa; Chordata; Lepidosauria; Squamata; Sphaerodactylidae
Source: RefSeq, a predicted model, not a curated record